RNAcentral lists this transfer RNA (73 nucleotides) under Anaerolineales bacterium. RNAcentral's name for it is "tRNA-Thr". It matches the Rfam family "tRNA". From Rfam's summary of the family: Transfer RNA (tRNA) molecules are approximately 80 nucleotides in length. Their secondary structure includes four short double-helical elements and three loops (D, anti-codon, and T loops). Lineage: Bacteria; Bacillati; Chloroflexota; Anaerolineae; Anaerolineales. RNAcentral also lists the same sequence under 2 other names. The record is from RNAcentral.
GCCGACGUAGCUCAAGCGGCAGAGCAUCCGCCUUGUAAGCGGACGGUUAUGAGUUCAAGUCUCAUCGUCGGCU